Molecule: ribosomal RNA, 403 nt
Filed under: uncultured bacterium
Lineage: Bacteria
Description: partial 16S ribosomal RNA
Rfam family: Bacterial small subunit ribosomal RNA
Source: RNAcentral
AUUGAACGCUGGCGGCAGGCCUAACACAUGCAAGUCGAGCGAGCGGCGGACGGGUGAGUAAUGUAUGGGGACUGCCCGAUAGAGGGGGAUAACUACUGGAAACGGUGGCUAAUACCGCAUACUAUCGGAUAACCCAUAUGGGAUUAGCUAGUAGGUGGGGUAAAGGCUCACCUAGGCGACGAUCUCUAGCUGGUCUGAGAGGAUGAUCAGCCGAACUGGGACGGAGAGCGGGCCCAGACUCCUACGGAGACAGCAUUGGGGAAUAGUGAACAAAGGGCGCAAGCUUGAUGCAGCCAUGCCGCGUAGAUGAAGCAGGCAUUAGGGUUGUAAAGUACUUUAAGCGGGGAGGCGUUACCCGGAGAAGAAGCACCGGCUAACUCCGUGCCAGCAGCCGCGGUAAUUC